GGAGGCGUAGUCUAAUUGGUAAGGCACCGCACUCGAAAUGCGGCGGGCGCAAGCCUUUGGGGGUUCGAGUCCCUCCGCCUCCG
This 83-nucleotide transfer RNA is filed under the name Longimicrobium terrae. It matches the Rfam family "tRNA". From Rfam's summary of the family: Transfer RNA (tRNA) molecules are approximately 80 nucleotides in length. The record is from Rfam by way of RNAcentral. RNAcentral also lists the same sequence under 7 other names. Lineage: Bacteria; Pseudomonadati; Gemmatimonadota; Longimicrobiia; Longimicrobiales; Longimicrobiaceae.